CGUUAGGCUUGGCCGGGGAGCUUGGCGUGCCCUGUACCCGCAAUCGUCAACAGCGGGGGUGACGGCAGGGGGCGGCAUGGCAAACGGUCCGAGCCCGCAGAGUGACCAUGAGAUCUUGUCUUGCAGAGUCGGAGUUUGUGUGUCGGACGGCCGGAGGGCCGUACCGCUCACAUUGAUCGGGGAAACCGGGUCAGGUCCUGACGGGAGCAGCCUUACCCCGUGCUACCGACGUUUGCGGGGUUGCAGGAUUGAGGAGCGAUGCGGACAACUCGGAUCCCUAUGCUGUGUCCACCUCUGUGGCCUAACA
Molecule: signal recognition particle RNA, 307 nt
Filed under: Candidatus Methanoplasma glyptotermitis
Lineage: Archaea; Methanobacteriati; Thermoplasmatota; Thermoplasmata; Methanomassiliicoccales; Methanomassiliicoccaceae
Description: signal recognition particle sRNA
Rfam family: Archaeal signal recognition particle RNA
Source: RNAcentral